RNAcentral lists this long non-coding RNA (2007 nucleotides) under Sus scrofa (pig). RNAcentral's name for it is "lncRNA (ENSSSCG00055026470.1)". Lineage: Eukaryota; Metazoa; Chordata; Mammalia; Artiodactyla; Suidae. The record is from RNAcentral.
UUUUUGUUUUCUUUUUGGUUUCCUUUGCUAUGCAAAAGCUUGUCAUUUUGAUUAGGUCCCACUGGUUUAUUUUUGCUUUUAUUUCCGUUGCUUUGGGAGACCAUUUGCAAGGUUGAUGUCAGAGAAUGUUUUGCCUAUAAUUCUCUUCCAGGAGUUUGAUGGUGUCUUGUCUCAUAUUUAAGUCUUUCAGCCAUUUUGAGUGUAUUUUCAUGCAUGGUGUGAGGGUAUGUUGCAGUUUCACUGAGUUGCAUACAGCUGUCCAGGUUUCCCAGCAAUGCUUGCUGAAAAGACUGUCUUUUUCCCAUUUUAUGUUCUUGCCUCCUUUGUCAAAGAUUAAUUGACCAUAGAUGUCUGGGUUUAAUUCUGGGUUUUCUAUUGUUGCAUGGUCUGUCUGUCUGUUUUGGUACCAGUACCACACUGUCUUGAUGACUGUGGCUUUGUAAUAUUGCCUGAAGUCUGGGAGAGCUAUGCCUCCUGCUUAGUUUUUGUUCCUCAAAACCUUGCCUACACUUUAAUAGGACUCUCUCAGACCCAGAAUCAGGUGCUACUUCUUCCAUGUUUUAAAAAUAACUAAGGUGGCACUCAUUAAAUCGCACAGUAAUUAUCUGUUGAUGUUUCUCUUUCACCUUCUAUGUUGUGAACGCUCAGGGGCAGAUCUUAUGCAGGUUUGCAUCCCCAGAGCCUAACGAAGUGCCCAUUUAUAAAUGCAACCAUGGAUGAAGAAUACAAAUAUGAAAGCCAUGUUCUAUGUCUCCAAGAGUUCACAAUGAGGUGAUCAAAAACCAAACAAACAAAAGGCAGUAUAAUACAGUCUAGUGUGGUGGGGAAGAAUAAGGUCUCCCUAGAGUGUGUCCUAUCUGAGUUGAGUUCUGGAGAAUAAGUAGGGGGCAGUCCCCAGGAGGGCGAUGGAAAAAGGAGAGGUGUGCCUCUUCUGGGCAGAAGCAUCAGCACUUCCGAAGGGAAGGUGGAGGAUGGAAGGAACUGUAAGCAGCUCUGGAGAACAGGCAUGUCAGGUGAAAAAGGAGUAACGUCAAUAGAUGAGACAAGAUAAGCCAAGAGAGGCUCCAGAAUGACUAGGUUUAGAAAACCGUGGUGAGGAGUUUGGCCUUUUUGUCAAAGGGAAAAUAGAAUCACAACACAAUUUUAAAUAGCAGCGCAUUUGGGAAAGCUUAUCCUGAGAGCAGACAAUAGACUGGGUGUGAAAAUACUGAAUGAGGGGAGCCAGUAAGAAGGCUGUUUAAGAAGGCCAGGUGUGCCACGAUGUGGGAACAGAAACAAAGCAGUGGCUACAAAGAAGAGGACUAGAGGAGUUCCCGUCAUGGUUCAGUGGUUAAUGCAUCAAGUAGAAACCAUGAGGUUGCCGGUUCUAUCCCUGGCCUUGCUCAUGAGGUUCUUAACCCACUGAGCCCCACUGGGAACUCCAGACAUAUUUAUUUUAAGCUGUCAUUGGGAACCUUAGAUGGAGAAGUUCAACACAAAGUUAGACAGAGGUGUUUGUAGCAUAGGAUAGUUCAAGACAGUCUCCAAAAACAUUAGAAGACUGAUUUACCAAUGAAGUCACAGAGGUGAGUGAGUUCCACUAGAAUGAGAGUUCACAAUGAGAAAAUGAGUCUGAAGCUGGCCAUGUGCAAUACCAACAUUUAUGGGAUAACAAGAACCUGGAAAAUGGCCUGGAGUGUCAGAGAGGUCGGAGAAAGACCAGGAGAGGAUGAUGAACAUCAAGGAAACCAUGACAGAAGACUGCCUGCAGAAGAAGUAUUUUAAUAAUCCCACACGUUGAAAAGAAGUGGUAGAGGUACAAAUGUCUUCACCAAACCUGACAAGGAGAAAGCUUUGUGUUUUCAUAAGAGUAAUUUCAAUGUACUUCAGGAGUCAGGAGCCAAUGUGAGAAAUGAGUUGAAGCUGAGACACUGAAGUCAGUGAAUUAUAGUCCUUCCCAAGCUUUUUUGGAAAAGGGAAGAAAAACUUACAUGUAAUUAGAAGGAAUUCCAAGAGACUUCAACUCUG